GUUUUUCCUAGCAAUAAUUUGAAGAAAUUUAUAAAUUCACUAAGCCAUGAAAAUUUUCCUGUGCGUGGUCACUCUCACAAUUUUUGCGGCUUGCUCGAAAGCCGACGAAGUUCCGCCAAAAUUUAAAACCCGGGAAGAUGCCGGGGUCGUGGUGCGGGGCAAGCUUUUCGAUAAACUCUUUGCCACGUAUAUAAAGGAAAACUACGCGGAGAAUACCACCGUCCAGGUCGGCAUGGCUCUAUAGGAUGUCAACUUUGAUGCCGAUAAAGAUGUAAUGAAUACGAACGUAUGGAUGAAAAUGAUUUGGUUCGACUAACCGGCUAACUUGGGACGAGUCUGAAUUUGCCAUUAACGUCCUUCGUGUUCCCGCCGAGAAAGUUUGGCUGCCAGAUAUCACCUUGUACAAUGGUGUGAAACCGAGUAUGGAUUGCGCCCCGAUGAACGUGCUGGUAUAUCCGAACGGGGAAGUUUUAUGGGUGCCGCCCUGCCGGCUGCAGUCCUACUGCAACCUGACUCUGAACCUUGGCCCGUACGAGGAGCAAAUCUGCACCCUUAAGUUCGGCUCUUGGACCUUUGACGGUUUCACGAUGGGUCUCGAACUCUCUAAUAAUAAAACACUCGUCGACAUGAAAAACUUUCAUAAUCUGAAUUACAAAGUGACCAAGAAUACGGCCGUGAGGGAAGAGCGGACCUACGACUGCUGUGUGGAACCAUAUUUCAAUAUCCUUUACACGCUCGGAUUCCAACGAAAAGCGGAAGUUGGGCGAAUUUGUGAGGAACAUUGAUGAGAAAAAAAUAUGGAUUUUAUUUGCACAUUGAUGGCCUCUGAUUUACCUCUCUUUUCAUGGAGCAGGUAGGUGACUAUGUAUUGCACGGAUUUAAAAUAAUAAUAAAAUUAAUGAAAACAAAGAUAAAAUUCAAAUUAUCACAUCAAUUUGCCCAAAUUAAAGAUAAAUUCUGUUCAAAUAGCUAAAAGUAAAUGUGUUCAAGUGAAGCAAAAAUUAAUUAAAUAUCUUACAGAAAAUUGCAUCAAUAUUUAUGUGUUUUGUAUUGUAAAUAAAUUUUAGUAACAAUUAGUUACGCCUUAGGGACAUUCAUAAAUAACGUAACACGAGAGAGGGGGGAGGUUACGGCUGCAAUGACUUCCUUCCUAUUCGAAACAAGUCACCUAAGUGGGGUCUA
Folsomia candida is the source of this 1182-nucleotide long non-coding RNA. RefSeq lists it as uncharacterized. The transcript is spliced from 6 exons. Lineage: Eukaryota; Metazoa; Arthropoda; Collembola; Entomobryomorpha; Isotomidae. The record is from RefSeq and is a predicted model, not a curated record.